GGCGCACGGGUGAGUAACGCGUAUCCAACCUUCCCCUUAGUAGGGCAUAGCCCGGCGAAAGUCGGAUUAAUACCCUAUGUUUUCCGAUGAGGACAUCUGAGCUGGAACAAAGAUUUAUCGCUAAGGGAUGGGGAUGCGUCUGAUUAGGUAGUCGGCGGGGUAACGGCCCACCGAGCCUACGAUCAGUAGGGGUUCUGAGAGGAAGGUCCCCCACAUUGGUACUGAGACACGGACCAAACUCCUACGGGAGGCAGCAGUGAGGAAUAUUGGUCAAUGGGCGCGAGCCUGAACCAGCCAAGUAGCGUGCAGGAAGACUGCCCUAUGGGUUGUAAACUGCUUUUAUGCGGGGAUAAAGUGCAGCACGUGUGCUGUUUUGUAGGUACCGCAUGAAUAAGGACCGGCUAAUUCCGUGCCAGCAGCCGCGGUAAUACGGAAGGUCCGGGCGUUAUCCGGAUUUAUUGGGUUUAAAGGGAGCGCAGGCUGAUUAUUAAGCGUGACGUGAAAUGUAGCCGCUCAACGGCUGAACUGCGUCGCGAACUGGUAGUCUUGAGUGAGUUCGAUGUAGGCGGAAUUCGUGGUGUAGCGGUGAAAUGCUUAGAUAUCACGAAGAACUCCGAUUGCGGAGGCAGCCUACAAGGCCUUUACUGAC
RNAcentral lists this ribosomal RNA (649 nucleotides) under uncultured bacterium. RNAcentral's name for it is "bacterial SSU rRNA". It matches the Rfam family "Bacterial small subunit ribosomal RNA", at positions 97 to 744 of the family's 1533-position model. The record is from RNAcentral.